This 328-nucleotide ribosomal RNA is filed under the name uncultured Alphaproteobacteria bacterium. RNAcentral's name for it is "bacterial SSU rRNA". It matches the Rfam family "Bacterial small subunit ribosomal RNA", at positions 664 to 988 of the family's 1533-position model. Lineage: Bacteria; Pseudomonadati; Pseudomonadota; Alphaproteobacteria. The record is from RNAcentral.
GAAUACCGAGUGUAGAGGUGAAAUUCGUAGAUAUUCGGUGGAACACCAGUGGCGAAGGCGACUGACUGGUCCACUUUCUGACGCUGAGGUGCGAAAGUGUGGGGAGCAAACAGGAUUAGAUACCCUGGUUAGUCCACACCGUAAACGAUGAGAGCUAGUUGUCGGACAGAGCUUGCCUGUCGGUGACGCAGCUAACGCAUUAAGCUCUCCGCCUGGGGAGUACGGCCGCAAGGUUAAAACUCAAAGAAAUUGACGGGGGCCCGCACAAGCGGUGGAGCAUGUGGUUUAAUUCGAAGCAACGCGCAGAACCUUACCCACGUUUGACAUG